UGGGGAAUUUUGGACAAUGGGCGAAAGCCUGAUCCAGCAAUGCCGCGUGUGUGAAGAAGGCCUUCGGGUUGUAAAGCACUUUUGUCCGGAAAGAAAUCCUUGGCUCUAAUACAGUCGGGGGAUGACGGUACCGGAAGAAUAAGCACCGGCUAACUACGUGCCAGCAGCCGCGGUAAUACGUAGGGUGCAAGCGUUAAUCGGAAUUACUGGGCGUAAAGCGUGCGCAGGCGGUUUGCUAAGACCGAUGUGAAAUCCCCGGGCUCAACCUGGGAACUGCAUUGGUGACUGGCAGGCUAGAGUAUGGCAGAGGGGGGUAGAAUUCCACGUGUAGCAGUGAAAUGCGUAGAGAUGUGGAGGAAUACCGAUGGCGAAGGCAGCCCCCUGGGCCAAUACUGACGCUCAUGCACGAAAGCGUGGGGAGCAAACAGGAUUAGAUACCCUGGUAGUCCACGCCCUAAAACGAUGUCAACUAGUUGUUGGGGAUUCAUUUCCUUAGUAACGUAGCUAACGCGUGAAGUUGACCGCCUGGGGAGUACGGUCGC
RNAcentral lists this ribosomal RNA (542 nucleotides) under uncultured bacterium. Its description in RNAcentral is "partial 16S ribosomal RNA". It matches the Rfam family "Bacterial small subunit ribosomal RNA", at positions 355 to 889 of the family's 1533-position model. The record is from RNAcentral.